Molecule: ribosomal RNA, 1236 nt
Filed under: Triticum aestivum (bread wheat)
Lineage: Eukaryota; Viridiplantae; Streptophyta; Magnoliopsida; Poales; Poaceae
Description: partial small subunit ribosomal RNA
Source: RNAcentral
AUGGAGGGUGACCAUGACGCCCUCGUCUGCCAGUUCAUGCAGGUCACGGCCUGCAUCUCCCUCUCGGACGCCGCCCAGCACCUCGCGUCCUGCAGCUGGCGGCUCGACGAGGCCGUAAAUCUCUACUUCGCCGGCGGUGCCGCAUCGUCGGCGCCGGUGGUGCCAAAGGACGAGCCUGCUGUGCGCGCUCCCAUCCCUGCCCGCUCCGAGACAAUCUACGGCCCCUCGUCCUCGACCGCUCGUCGUCAACCACGAGUCAGACCUACCGGAUGGGAGAGCGAACACGACGACGCACCAGCACCCGCAGCCGAGGGCCACCCUCGCCGCCGCCGCCGCGGCGAAGAGUGCACCUCAGGUGGCAGCACCACGGAUCAGGCGGGCAAGAAGAAGAAGAAGACCCUGGCGGAGCUGUUCCGGGCGCCGGUCGAGCUGACGUACAAGGGGCGGUUCCACGACGCCAAGGCGCACGCGGCGGGCCUGUCCCGCUGGCUGCUGGUGAACGUGCAGGCGAGCGGCGAGUUCGCGUCCCACCAGCAGAACCGCGACGUGUGGGCCAACGAGCUGGUGGCGCAGGCCGUCCGGGAGCGCUUCGUGCUCUGGCAGGUGGACGUGGACGAGCGGGAGGACGGCCUCGACGAGGGCGGCAAGGUGUCGUGCUACUACAAGCUCGCCCACGACAUGAUGCCCCACGUGCUGGUGGUCGACCCGGUGACCGGGCAGCUGAUGCACAGGAUGCGCGCCGCCACCGACCCGAACGACAUGAUCGCCGUGGCCGACAAGUUCGCGGAGAGGCGGCCGGUCAUGCCCGCCAAAGCAACCAAGCAUCGUGCUGCGUCAUCAGCCGCUCCGCCUCCGCGCGGCAAGCAAGAAGCGCCGCCGGUGGGCACGGCGGCAUCGAGCAGCAGUGAUCCAUCUGCAACGACGGCGACGAAGAGAGUCGAGACCGCCGCGGCCGCGGUGGCACCGCCGACCUGUGAGAUGGCACCCGGGCCCGGGGAGAAACUGUGCAAGCUGAGGGUUCGAUUGCCCGACGGUCGGGCGCUCACGAAGCAGUUCGGUGCUCAGCGCGGAGUCGCCGCGCUUUUCGCGUUUUGCAGGUCAGAGGAAGAGCGGCCGUUCCGGCUCAUGCGCUUGGCCGCCGGUGGCUCCAUGCAGCAAAUAGGUGACGAGAAUGUGUCGUUUGACGAUUUGGGGCUACACAUGUCCACUGUUUUUAUGGUUCUAAGCUGGUCCUAG